GUGUUUGUAAAUUUCAGAGAUCACUGUGGUUGCUGCGUGGAAAUGGAUUUGAAUAGGUGAGGAAAGAAGGAAGCCGGGAGGCUACACCUGAGCCCAGGAAAGGAGAUGGUCUUUGCAUCUGUACAACUCAAGCCUUCAGCCCAGUGACUGCUCUGAUGUUUUGAUGCUACCGUUUUGACUCCACGGUCUUGUGGUUCAAAAGCCAAAUGCGGAAUAAAGAACCGAGGAGGGGGUACAGUUUGCUGUGGACGUCCUGGCCAGUUAUCCCCACACUUUUCUUGAAGGUGAAUGCUGGGGUGGAGACAACAACGAUGGAAGUAUAAGAGAUCUGGAAGUGCUGAAGAAGUGACUGAGUCACUAUUUGAAGCAGGGUGUGGCUUCUGUGGAGCCUUGGCUGGGGCCUGGACUACUGAACACCUGAAACAGAUUUCCAAAAUGAGAGCUGACAUUUACUGAGUGGCACGUAUCAGGCCCUGUAUGGAAACUUUCCAGCUGUUGUCUGAGUUCAUCCUCAUGGAAGUGCCAUGAAGCAGGAGCCGUUACCAUCUCUGCUAUGCACCUGAGAAAGUCAGGCUUGCGGAGGGUAAGUAGCUCUACCCAUGGUCAGCCGGUCACUAGCGAGCUAGAAUCUGAAUCUUAGCAUCCACGUGGCCACAGACAGUAAUCCGACUCCCAAACAUGGAAUGGGUUCUCCUUUUCUCUCCUAGAGUUCAAUGUAAGUCAAGGUCAGGAAAGUCCUGCAGAUAGAAAUAUCUGUUUUAAGACUUGCAUACAAAUAUGAGGAGUCUUUUCACAAAAUUGCCUAUCAGGAAAAAUCUAUGUGUAGAGUUAGA
Molecule: non-coding RNA, 833 nt
Organism: Oryctolagus cuniculus (rabbit)
Lineage: Eukaryota; Metazoa; Chordata; Mammalia; Lagomorpha; Leporidae
Source: RefSeq, a predicted model, not a curated record